UACAGAGGUGGCAAGCGUUGCUCGGAAUCACUGGGCUUAAAGGGCGCGUAGGCGGUGCGGUACGGCUUCGGUGAAAUCCCUCGGCCCAACCGAGGAACAGCCGGGGCUACGGCCGCGCUCGACGGCAUCAGGGGACAGUGGAACUCCCGGUGGAGCGGUGAAAUGCGUAGAUAUCGGGAGGAACGCCGGUGGCGAAAGCGACUGUCUGGGGUGCCUGUGACGCUGAGGCGCGAAAGCCAGGGGAUCAAACGGG
Molecule: ribosomal RNA, 253 nt
Filed under: uncultured bacterium
Lineage: Bacteria
Description: partial 16S ribosomal RNA
Rfam family: Bacterial small subunit ribosomal RNA
Source: RNAcentral